CCUACGGGCGGCAGCAGUGGGGAAUAUUGGACAAUGGGGGCAACCCUGAUCCAGCCAUGCCGCGUGUGUGAAGAAGGCCCUCGGGGUGUAAAGCACUUUCAGUGAGGAAGAACGCCUGGUGGUUAAUACCCAUCAGGAAAGACAUCACUCACAGAAGAAGCACCGGCUAACUCCGUGCCAGCAGCCGCGGUAAUACGGAGGGUGCGAGCGUUAAUCGGAAUUACUGGGCGUAAAGCGCGCGUAGGUGGCUUGAUAAGCCGGUUGUGAAAGCCCCGGGCUCAACCUGGGAACGGCAUCCGGAACUGUCAAGCUAGAGUGCAGGAGAGGAAGGUAGAAUUCCCGGUGUAGCGGUGAAAUGCGUAGAGAUCGGGAGGAAUACCAGUGGCGAAGGCGGCCUUCUGGACUGACGCUGACACUGAGGUGCGAAAGCGUGGGUAGCAAACAGGAUUAGAUACCCCAGUAGUC
Molecule: ribosomal RNA, 465 nt
Filed under: Vreelandella stevensii
Lineage: Bacteria; Pseudomonadati; Pseudomonadota; Gammaproteobacteria; Oceanospirillales; Halomonadaceae
Description: partial 16S ribosomal RNA
Rfam family: Bacterial small subunit ribosomal RNA
Source: RNAcentral